RNAcentral lists this transfer RNA (62 nucleotides) under Cromna sinensis. RNAcentral's name for it is "tRNA-Ile". Lineage: Eukaryota; Metazoa; Arthropoda; Insecta; Hemiptera; Flatidae. The record is from RNAcentral.
AAUAAGAUGCCUGAUAAAAGGAUUAUCUUGAUGUGAUAAAUUAUGUUUCUUAACUCUUAUUA